Molecule: long non-coding RNA, 2054 nt
Filed under: Sus scrofa (pig)
Lineage: Eukaryota; Metazoa; Chordata; Mammalia; Artiodactyla; Suidae
Description: lncRNA (ENSSSCG00005003695.1)
Source: RNAcentral
GAACGUGACCGGUGAAAGGAAGUGGAAGCUUUGGCCCAACGUGGCUCCUCGGGGACACCUGGCAGGCUGGGAGGACAGUGGGUGACAGCUGCUGAGGGGAGCCCAGCGUCCACUCCGUCCACUCCGAGGGCCCCGAGCGAGACACGCCCUGCUGGGGUGUGAGGAGAGAGGCAGGAGGGAGGGCAGUUCUUGGAUGAGUGGUGCCUGAGCAAUCUCCUUUCCUUCAAUACUUUGAGGGCUCAGAGGAAAAAACAAUUAGAUAAGCAUCUUUAAUUUCCUUUAGGUAAAAUCUUGCUCAUUUUAGCAAAAUUGCAUUUAAUAUCGAGAGGGCUUUUGUGGGAGAAAGAUUAAUCAGAGGAAACUCUCCAGUUGAAGGAAAAGCUCCUGCUGUGGUCUUUGAAGAUGUUUUAAUUUUAUGAAAUCAAAGGAACAGAACUCUCAGGCACAUGUUAAACUUGUCUCCAUGCUCUCGAAAGCAUCUCCUAGACUUGGUAUUAAUUGGUGGGUGUCUGGUUUCCUGGCAGAUCAGGAACGCAGGGCAGCCCCCAACCUUAUCUCUUCUAGAGGAUGGUUCUGUGGGUUUCGAGAAGGACGCGGAAAUAAGUCUUCCGUGUUCCGAUGGGACAGCAGUGAAUAUAAUUUUGGCUAAUUCCCUGGAGCCAUUAGAAUCUUCAGCUGUGCCUCCCAAGACUGUCACCUUCUUUCCAGGGCCAGAUGUUGCCAAGUCCAGGGUAACAACAACUGACAUAUGAAUAGGUUGGGAGUGGCAUUUAGUGGAGGGAUAUGUUUUAAACUUUGCUUCAGAGUUACCCUGGGAUAUAUCGAUCAGGGUUGUAAAUACUUGGGUGUACACUCAACCUACGGCAGUGCAGUAGAGCAGGGGAACAAGUUCUAGGAGAAAGCAAAGAGCCAAGCCAGUCCACCCAAGCUCAUAGCGCAUUAUUCACAACAGGUAAAUACUGGCAGCAACACACGUGUCCAUGGAUGGCUGAAUGGAUAAACACAGCAUGUUAUUUGCAUGCAAUGGAGUAUUACUCAGCCUUAAAAAGGAAGGAGAUUCUGACACCUGCUACAACAUGGAUAAGCUUUGGUGAUAGUAUGCCAAAGGAGAUGAGCCAGUCACAGAAGGACAAACACUGUAUGAUGGCACUUAGACAAAGUACCGAGAGCAGUCAGAUUCAGAAAGACACGAUGGAGAACCAGGGUUGCCUGGGACUGAGGGAGGGGGAGGGGGAGCUGGUGUUUAAUGGGGGCAGAGUUUCCAUCUGGGAAGAUGAAAAGCCCUGGAGACGGAUGGUGGUGAUGGUUGCUUCGUACUGCUGAAUUGCACACGCUAAAGAUAGUUAACAUCUUGUGAGUAUUUUGCCACAAUUAAAAAAAAAUUAAUUCCCUUAAAAAGCAAAAAGAAAAAAAGGCCAGACCAAAACCACAAAUCUCAUGGGCUGAAGUCUUGCCUCUCAGAGACUUCCUCAAACUCUGACAACCCCCUGAGGGCCUCUAGAUCUGAGCUGAAAACUUCUGCAUGGACUCUAUUUAGAACUUUCUCCUCAUGACGGUAGGACUUUCAGUGGGUGUCUGGGGUCUAUUUCUCUUGAGCUGGCAAAGGCGACCCCAGAAUGGACUUGGGGGUCAGGGUCUGGUGUUGAAUGUGCUUGUUCUGGCGCUGACAUGCAGGCUGGCCUUGCUCUGAGCUCCCCCACCCCCACCCCCAGCGGCCCUGGGCCCACCCUGUGGUGGGCACGGGUGCCCUUGGGAGUCUAGGCUCUCCCACCCAUUAGCUGUAGGAUCUGGGGUAAGUCAGCAAAACCUUUCUGUCCCUCAGUUUCAUUGCCUGCAACGGGAGCAAUGAGGCUGCCCUUUCCGCCUGCCAGGGACUCUGGGAUUUCCAAAGAUGCCCUACAAGGAGGCACCUUGGAGUUCCCGCUGUGCUGCCAUGGGAUCAGUGACAUCUCUUCAGCUCCAGGACGCAGGUUCGAUCCCUGGCCCGGCACAGGGGGUUAAGAGAUUGGCUUUGCCACAACUGCAGCAACUGUGGCUCAGAUCAGAUUCCUGGC